This is a small nuclear RNA of Cercocebus atys (sooty mangabey), 105 nucleotides long. Lineage: Eukaryota; Metazoa; Chordata; Mammalia; Primates; Cercopithecidae. The record is from Ensembl.
GUGCUCCCUCCAGCAGCAUAUAUACUAAAAUCGUAGAGAUACAGGGAAGAUUAGCAAGACUACCGUGCAAGGAUGAUGCAUAUUCGUGAUGUGUUCCAUAUUUUU